CUACGGGUUGCUGCAGUGGGGAAUCUUGCACAAUGGGCGAAAGCCUGAUGCAGCCAUGCCGCGUGAAUGAUGAAGGCCUUAGGGUUGUAAAAUUCUUUCGCCAGGGAUGAUAAUGACAGUACCUGGUAAAGAAGCCCCGGCUAACUUCGUGCCAGCAGCCGCGCUAAUACGAAGGGGGCUGGCGUUGUUCGGAAUUACUGGGCGUAAAGCGCACGUAGGCGGACUUUUAAGUCAGAUGUGAAAUCCCGAGGCUCAACCUCGGAACUGCAUUUGAAACUGGAAGUCUAGAGUUCAGGAGAGGUUAGCGGAAUACCGAGUGUAGAGGUGAAAUUCGUAGAUAUUCGGUGGAACACCAGUGGCGAAGGCGGCUAACUGGACUGAUACUGACGCUGAGGUGCGAAAGUGUGGGGAGCAAACAGGAUUAGAUACCCCCGUAGUC
RNAcentral lists this ribosomal RNA (439 nucleotides) under uncultured bacterium. Its description in RNAcentral is "partial 16S ribosomal RNA". It matches the Rfam family "Bacterial small subunit ribosomal RNA", at positions 339 to 795 of the family's 1533-position model. The record is from RNAcentral.